Molecule: ribosomal RNA, 454 nt
Filed under: uncultured organism
Description: partial 16S ribosomal RNA
Rfam family: Bacterial small subunit ribosomal RNA
Source: RNAcentral
ACGUACACUCCUACGGGAGGCAGCAGUGGGGAAUAUUGGACAAUGGGCGCAAGCCUGAUCCAGCCAUGCCGCGUGAGUGAUGAAGGCCCUAGGGUUGUAAAGCUCUUUCACCGGUGAAGAUAAUGACGGUAACCGGAGAAGAAGCCCCGGCUAACUUCGUGCCAGCAGCCGCGGUAAUACGAAGGGGGCUAGCGUUGUUCGGAUUUACUGGGCGUAAAGCGCACGUAGGCGGACUAUUAAGUCAGGGGUGAAAUCCCGGGGCUCAACCCCGGAACUGCCUUUGAUACUGGGAGUCUUGAGUUCGAGAGAGGUGAGUGGAAUUCCGAGUGUAGAGGUGAAAUUCGUAGAUAUUCGGAGGAACACCAGUGGCGAAGGCGGCUCACUGGCUCGAUACUGACGCUGAGGUGCGAAAGCGUGGGGAGCAAACAGGAUUAGAAACCCCUGUAGUCCCAUG